AUGUCAGAUGUUUUUUGGGGGGGUAGGUCUCCUGUGCCCCCCUGCCUUGUCCCUUCCCCAGCAGGACCCAGGUCCUGGCCAUGCCCCUGCACAAGGAUUGCUGACCUUUGGGGACAUCACUGCAUCCCCGGGGGGUUUCUUGGCCAUGUCCUUGGAGGGGACAGGUCUGCAGUGGGUGCUGGUGUAGCUGCACAUGCCCCCCAGCUGUCCUGGGUGGUGGGAGUGCAUCUCCCCCAGUGCCAGUCCCAACUGUCCACUGGUCCCAGUUGCUCCCCUGUACUGGGGGCAGGGGGGGGCUGGACUGAGCCUGUGGGUGAUGGCUGUGGUUGGCCGCUGCUAGAAAGAAAUAAACCUGUGUCCUUGUACCAAGUGCCUGGUGCCCUUUCCUCGGGGUGGGGGGGACAUGGGUGGAUGGGUCAGGGAUGGCUCUGCAGAGCCCCCACCACCUGCUUUUGGGGGCUGAGGGGGACCCUGGGGACAUUGGGACCCAAGGGUGACACAAGGCUGCCCCCCUUCCCCAGCGCAGCUGGCAGAGCCCUUCCCCACCAUCAACAUAACCUUUAUUUAGUAACUGCUUUGCCUUUUCUCCCCCCAAAUCGAGGACAAGACCCCAGGGUGCCUCGGUGGCAGUGGAGCUUCAGCGAGCCAGUCUUUCCAGGGGGGAACCUUCCUUCCCCGUUAUAUAUAUAUAGAUUAGUCGCACUAUAUAUAUAUAUGUAUGUAUAUGUAUCUCCUGGCCUCAGCACAGCGAGGGGGGGCAGCUGGGGCCACACGUUAAUAGCAGAGCUCUACGUUAGCAGCAGCGAUGGGCUCGAGCGGGGCCAGGGGGGCGCCCAGCCCAGGGGGACGCGGCACCGCAGCCGUGUCCGAUUAUCGGUGACGCCCCAGUGUGUGUGUGUGUCCCCGCAGCCCGGAGUGGAGGGGGGGUGUCGGUCAGUGCAGGGAGGAGGGCCCAGCUCUGGGGGUGGUGGUAGAGGACAGGGGGGCUCAGGGGCUUCUCCUGCCUCAGUUUCCCCUGUUGAGUGUGCGAUGACCCUGGACAUGGGGAUGCGCCCAUGGCCCCCAGUGGUUUGA
RNAcentral lists this long non-coding RNA (1074 nucleotides) under Accipiter nisus (Eurasian sparrowhawk). RNAcentral's name for it is "lncRNA (ENSANIG00000006864.1)". Lineage: Eukaryota; Metazoa; Chordata; Aves; Accipitriformes; Accipitridae. The record is from RNAcentral.